Molecule: small nucleolar RNA, 99 nt
Organism: Amaranthus tricolor (Joseph's coat)
Lineage: Eukaryota; Viridiplantae; Streptophyta; Magnoliopsida; Caryophyllales; Amaranthaceae
Product: small nucleolar RNA snoR113
Exons: 1
Source: RefSeq, a predicted model, not a curated record
CGGCUGUGAUGAAUCAAAGGCCGGACUUAUGGCUGCCCCCUGAAAUGGGUUUGGUAGUAGAUUGACGAUAAAGUCUGAGCAAAGGUUUUCCUGAGCCAU